Molecule: ribosomal RNA, 484 nt
Filed under: uncultured bacterium
Lineage: Bacteria
Description: bacterial SSU rRNA
Rfam family: Bacterial small subunit ribosomal RNA
Source: RNAcentral
GACGAACGCUGGCGGCGUGCUUAACACAUGCAAGUCGAGCGGAGUGCAGCAGUUAGCUUGCUAACAGCUGUUACUUAGCGGCGGACGGGUGAGUAACGCGUGAGCAACCUACCUAUUAGAGGGGGAUAACACACCGAAAGGUGUGCUAAUACCGCAUGAAGCAGACAUAUCGCAUGAUAAGUUUGUUAAAGGAGCAAUCCGCUAAUAGAUGGGCUCGCGUCUGAUUAGCUAGUUGGUAAGGUAAUGGCUUACCAAGGCGACGAUCAGUAGCCGAACUGAGAGGUUGGUCGGCCACAUUGGGACUGAGACACGGCCCAGACUCCUACGGGAGGCAGCAGUGGGGAAUAUUGCACAAUGGGCGCAAGCCUGAUGCAGCAACGCCGCGUGAGGGACGACGGCCUUCGGGUUGUAACCUCUUUACGUAGGGUAGAAGCGAAAGUGACGGUACCUGCAGAAAAGACACCGGCUAACUACGUGCCAGCAC